AAUAGAUACCCAGGUAGUCCAUGCCGUAAACGUUGGGCACUAGGUGUGGGUCCAUUCCACGGAUUCCGUGCCGCAGCAAACGCAUUAAGUGCCCCGCCUAGGGAGUACGGCCGCAAGGCUAAAACUCAAGGAAAUUGACGGGGGCCCGCACAAGCGGCGGAGCAUGCGGAUUAAUUCGAUGCAACGCGAAGAACCUUACCAAGGCUUGACAUACACCGGAAACGUGCAGAGAUGUGCGCCCCGCAAGGUCGGUGUACAGGUGGUGCAUGGUUGUCGUCAGCUCGUGUCGUGAGAUGUUGGGUUAAGUCCCGCAACGAGCGCAACCCUCGUCCCAUGUUGCCAGCGGGUUAUGCCGGGGACUCAUGGGAGACUGCCGGGGUCAACUCGGAGGAAGGUGGGGAUGACGUCAAAUCAUCAUGCCCCUUAUGUCUUGGGCUUCACGCAUGCUACAAUGGCCGGUACAAAGGGCUGCGAAACCGCGAGGUGGAGCGAAUCCCAAAAAGCCGGUCUCAGUUCGGAUUGGGGUCUGCAACUGACCCC
This 540-nucleotide ribosomal RNA is filed under the name uncultured bacterium. Its description in RNAcentral is "bacterial SSU rRNA". It matches the Rfam family "Bacterial small subunit ribosomal RNA", at positions 777 to 1319 of the family's 1533-position model. The record is from RNAcentral.